RNAcentral lists this transfer RNA (76 nucleotides) under Undibacterium sp. RNAcentral describes it as "tRNA-Val". It matches the Rfam family "tRNA". Rfam says of the family: Transfer RNA (tRNA) molecules are approximately 80 nucleotides in length. Their secondary structure includes four short double-helical elements and three loops (D, anti-codon, and T loops). Further hydrogen bonds mediate the characteristic L-shaped molecular structure. tRNAs have two regions of fundamental functional importance: the anti-codon, which is responsible for specific mRNA codon recognition, and the 3' end, to which the tRNAs corresponding amino acid is attached (by aminoacyl-tRNA synthetases). tRNAs cope with the degeneracy of the genetic code in two manners: having more than one tRNA (with a specific anti-codon) for a particular amino acid; and 'wobble' base-pairing, i.e. permitting non-standard base-pairing at the 3rd anti-codon position. RNAcentral also lists the same sequence under 1 other name. Lineage: Bacteria; Pseudomonadati; Pseudomonadota; Betaproteobacteria; Burkholderiales; Oxalobacteraceae. The record is from RNAcentral.
GGGCGCUUAGCUCAGUUGGUAGAGCGGCGCCCUUACAAGGCGUAGGUCGGGAGUUCGAGCCUCUCAGCGCCCACCA